This 350-nucleotide ribosomal RNA is filed under the name uncultured bacterium. RNAcentral's name for it is "bacterial SSU rRNA". It matches the Rfam family "Bacterial small subunit ribosomal RNA", at positions 917 to 1264 of the family's 1533-position model. The record is from RNAcentral.
GGACCCGCACAAGUAGUGGAGCAUGUGGUUUAAUUCGAAGAUACGCGCAGAACCUUACCAACACUUGACAUGUUCGUCGCGACUUUAAGAGAUUAAAGUUUUCGGUUCGGCCGGACGAAACACAGGUGCUGCAUGGCUGUCGUCAGCUCGUGUCGUGAGAUGUUGGGUUAAGUCCCGCAACGAGCGCAACCCUCACUUUUAGUUGCCAUCAUUAAGUUGGGCACUCUGAAAGAACUGCCAGUGAUAAGCUGGAGGAAGGUGGGGAUGACGUCAAGUCCUCAUGGCCCUUACGUGUUGGGCUACACACGUGCUACAAUGGCUAGGACAGACGGCUGCAAACCAGCGAUGGG